UUUGGGUUCAUAAAAU
RNAcentral lists this small RNA (16 nucleotides) under Arabidopsis thaliana (thale cress). RNAcentral describes it as "ATSL283470". Lineage: Eukaryota; Viridiplantae; Streptophyta; Magnoliopsida; Brassicales; Brassicaceae. The record is from RNAcentral.